AAAAUUAUAGUUUAAACAAACAUUUCUAUUACAGAGAAAAAAUGCAUAAAGCUAAUUUUG
Molecule: transfer RNA, 60 nt
Filed under: Elaphrothrips spiniceps
Lineage: Eukaryota; Metazoa; Arthropoda; Insecta; Thysanoptera; Phlaeothripidae
Description: tRNA-Val
Source: RNAcentral